GCGGCAGCUGCAUCUGUACUGUUGUCAUUGCUCAGCCUUUCACCCUGCAUGUGCUUACUACAUUAUAAAAAUAACUGUAAAAUAGUAACAAUUUCUUCCAUCUCUCAACCCCUGUGAAAUGCUGAGUGACUGGAGUCAAAAGUAGUGUCUGGAGAGCAAUCAUUUUUGUGGUCAAGGAGAAGAAAGGAAGAUAAGACCCAGGAAAACACCGAUGAAGGAGAAUUAUCCUUAUUUCACCUUGGUGUUAACAAAAGCCUUAACAAGCCUGGAGCCUGAGUGCAGAAAAUGUGCUGAUACGGUAGAUAGAAAAAUGAAAAACUCUGGGCAGAAGUCAUUCCCAAAAAGAGCCUUAUAGAGUAACCAGUCUUCCAUCUGGAUAUGUUGUAACAUGAAAGUGAGUAUUAUGCUGCAAAAUUUGAAUUUGUACUUAUAAUUGUUUUGGUGUCAUACGAUCAGAAUAAAAGAAUUCUGUGUAAUUAUGGUCUGUGUAAU
Molecule: long non-coding RNA, 492 nt
Filed under: Parus major (Great Tit)
Lineage: Eukaryota; Metazoa; Chordata; Aves; Passeriformes; Paridae
Description: lncRNA (ENSPMJG00000005676.1)
Source: RNAcentral